UACAGAGGGUGCAAGCGUUAAUCGGAUUUACUGGGCGUAAAGCGCGCGUAGGCGGCUAAUUAAGUCAAAUGUGAAAUCCCCGAGCUUAACUUGGGAAUUGCAUUCGAUACUGGUUAGCUAGAGUGUGGGAGAGGAUGGUAGAAUUCCAGGUGUAGCGGUGAAAUGCGUAGAGAUGUGGAGGAACACCAAUGGCGAAGGCAGCCUUCUGGGCCAACACUGACGCUCAUGCACGAAAGCGUGGGGAGCAAACAGG
Molecule: ribosomal RNA, 253 nt
Filed under: uncultured bacterium
Lineage: Bacteria
Description: partial 16S ribosomal RNA
Rfam family: Bacterial small subunit ribosomal RNA
Source: RNAcentral